Molecule: transfer RNA, 67 nt
Filed under: Marmota monax (woodchuck)
Lineage: Eukaryota; Metazoa; Chordata; Mammalia; Rodentia; Sciuridae
Description: tRNA.Ala
Source: RNAcentral
GGUUAUGGCUCAGGGGCAGAGCGCUUGCCUAGCACAUGUGAGGCACUGGGUUCGAUCCUCAGCACCA